This 405-nucleotide ribosomal RNA is filed under the name uncultured prokaryote. RNAcentral's name for it is "bacterial SSU rRNA". It matches the Rfam family "Bacterial small subunit ribosomal RNA", at positions 355 to 774 of the family's 1533-position model. The record is from RNAcentral.
UGGGGAAUUUUACGCAAUGGGGGAAACCCUGACGUAGCGACACCGCGUGAGCGAAGAAGCCCCUUGGGGUGUAAAGCUCUGUCGGCUGGAACGAAAAAAAUGAUGGUACCAGCAAAGGAAGCAUCGGCUAACUACGUGCCAGCAGCCGCGGUAAGACGUAGGAUGCAAGCGUUGUCCGGAUUUAUUGGGCGUAAAGAGUUCGUAGGUGGUUUGUCAAGUCUGAUGUUAAAGAUCGGGGCUCAACCCUGGGACUGCAUUGGAUACUGGCAGACUUGAGUAUGGUAGAGGCUAGGGGAAUUCCCAGUGUAGCGGUGAAAUGCGUAGAUAUUGGGAAGAACACCGGUGGCGUAGGCGACUAGCUGGGCCAUAACUGACGCUGAGGAACGAAAGCCAGGGGAGCGAAUG